RNAcentral lists this ribosomal RNA (248 nucleotides) under uncultured bacterium. Its description in RNAcentral is "partial 16S ribosomal RNA". It matches the Rfam family "Bacterial small subunit ribosomal RNA", at positions 523 to 769 of the family's 1533-position model. The record is from RNAcentral.
AUACGUAGGUGGCAAGCGUUGUCCGGAUUUACUGGGUGUAAAGGGCGUGUAGCCGGGUCGGCAAGUCAGAUGUGAAAUCUGGAGGCUCAACCUCCAAACUGCAUUUGAAACUGUUGAUCUUGAGUAUCGGAGAGGUAAUCGGAAUUCCUAGUGUAGCGGUGAAAUGCGUAGAUAUUAGGAAGAACACCAGUGGCGAAGGCGGAUUACUGGACGACAACUGACGGUGAGGCGACGAAAGCGUGGGGAGC